RNAcentral lists this ribosomal RNA (497 nucleotides) under uncultured bacterium. RNAcentral's name for it is "partial 16S ribosomal RNA". It matches the Rfam family "Bacterial small subunit ribosomal RNA", at positions 28 to 507 of the family's 1533-position model. The record is from RNAcentral.
GAUGAACGCUGGCGGCGUGCCUAAUACAUGCAAGUCGAGCGAACAGACGAGGAGCUUGCUCCUCUGACGUUAGCGGCGGACGGGUGAGUAACACGUGGAUAACCUACCUAUAAGACUGGGAUAACUUCGGGAAACCGGAGCUAAUACCGGAUAAUAUAUUGAACCGCAUGGUUCAAUAGUGAAAGACGGUUUUGCUGUCACUUAUAGAUGGAUCCGCGCCGCAUUAGCUAGUUGGUAAGGUAACGGCUUACCAAGGCAACGAUGCGUAGCCGACCUGAGAGGGUGAUCGGCCACACUGGAACUGAGACACGGUCCAGACUACUACGGGAGGCAGCAGUAGGGAAUCUGCCGCAAUGGGCGAAAGCCUGACGGAGCAACGCCGCGUGAGUGAUGAAGGUCUUCGGAUCGUAAAACUCUGUUAUUAGGGAAGAACAAAUGUGUAAGUAACUAUGCACGUCUUGACGGUACCUAAUCAGAAAGCCACGGCUAACUACGUG